This is a long non-coding RNA of Brassica rapa (field mustard), 973 nucleotides long. RefSeq lists it as uncharacterized. NCBI's taxonomy places the organism in Eukaryota, Viridiplantae, Streptophyta, Magnoliopsida, Brassicales, Brassicaceae. The record is from RefSeq and is a predicted model, not a curated record.
UGUUAACGAUUAUGGGCCUCAGGUAAAGAGAAAUUCAAAAGACACCCUAAUCCUAAAGGCUCGAGGAGAUGGCUAUCGACUCUCUUCUUCGAUGGCCGCGCGGUGACGAUUGACUUUCCCCAUGCUAUCUGAAACUGUCAGAUUAAUGUAUUUGUGAUUAAUCUCAUUCAUUCAGACGGCCAUUAUGAUGGCUUGAAUGCGUUGUUAGAUCUGCGAGGCGGUGUGUGUACUGUAUAAAUAGAUGUACAUCUGCAAUAUUUUAAAUAAGAACUCUGAUGUCUACGGAGGAUGUGGCGUGUUUCGUCAUGUAAAAAAGAGAGAUGGCCAAUACCGGAAUCAUUCUGAGGCCACACCAACAAUGUUGAGAUGCCUUACGUACAAUCUAUUCUACCACAAAUACUAAGCUUUUCUGUAAGUGUAAAAUUUGAACUCAGUUUCCAUGUUCAAAAUUAGCUAAAAAUAAUUCAUGGAUCUACAAAACCUAGAACCUUGAAGGUUGGAUAGUAGGUUCUUUGUUAACUCUUUUUAUCUCUGAUAAAGUUGUCGCAGACGCCGCCAAACAUUUGGUGUCCGUCAGUGAUAAUGUUGUUAUAGUUGUUUUUUGAACUCAUGUCUAAUGAGUUUUACAGUUCAACUAUACGGUGCUCUUUUCUUAUAUGAGUUUCAGGGAAAAUGAGAACGUCAACUUAUUGUGGAUAUGUGAGUGUGUUUCACAUAUCCAGAAGCCAAGGAUUCACAACAGCGUUGUCUAUAUAUUCUGAGCCUGAAGAACAUUGAAAAACAUAAAAGAAGGGUGCAAUGUCUGAAAAAUCUAGAUGGAUUAAGAACUCAUUUGGUUACUGUUGGUCUUCUUCCCUGUCCUUUCUAACCAGGGAAAUUUGUUGUAUAAUUUGCGGUUUCACAUUCGUUGUUAAGAUAAGUGAGUGCGUGUAUGAAGAAUUUCCAAUAAGAAUAUCUCCCAUUUGUUAAUCCA